This 75-nucleotide ribosomal RNA is filed under the name Staphylococcus aureus M1125. Lineage: Bacteria; Bacillati; Bacillota; Bacilli; Caryophanales; Staphylococcaceae. RNAcentral also lists the same sequence under 8 other names. The record is from RNAcentral.
UGGUGACUAUAGCAAGGAGGUCACACCUGUUCCCAUGCCGAACACAGAAGUUAAGCUCCUUAGCGUCGAUGGUAG